AUUGAACGCUGGCGGCAUGCUUUACACAUGCAAGUCGAACGGCAGCGGGGGCUUCGGCCUGCCGGCGGGUGGCGAACGGGUGAGUAAUGCAUCGGAACGUGCCCAUGUUGUGGGGGAUAACUACGCGAAAGCGUAGCUAAUACCGCAUAAGCCCUGAGGGGGAAAGCGGGGGAUUCUUCGGAACCUCGUGCGAUUGGAGCGGCCGAUGUCGGAUUAGCUAGUAGGUGAGGUAAAGGCUCACCUAGGCGACGAUCCGUAGCGGGUCUGAGAGGAUGAUCCGCCACACUGGGACUGAGACACGGCCCAGACUCCUACGGGAGGCAGCAGUGGGGAAUUUUGGACAAUGGGCGCAAGCCUGAUCCAGCCAUGCCGCGUGAGUGAAGAAGGCCUUCGGGUUGUAAAGCUCUUUCGGCCGGGAAGAAAUCGCAUUCUCUAACAUAGGAUGUGGAUGACGGUACCGGACUAAGAAGCACCGGCUAACUACGUGCCAGCCGCCGCCGUAA
This 503-nucleotide ribosomal RNA is filed under the name uncultured bacterium. RNAcentral's name for it is "partial 16S ribosomal RNA". It matches the Rfam family "Bacterial small subunit ribosomal RNA", at positions 29 to 523 of the family's 1533-position model. The record is from RNAcentral.